CGAAGCUGGAAUCGCUAGUAAUCGCGGAUCAGCACGCCGCGGUGAAUACGUUCCCGGGCCUUGUACACACCGCCCGUCACACCAUGAGAGUCUGUAACACCCAAAGCCGGUGGGAUAACCUUUAUAGGAGUCAGCCGUCUAAGGUAGGACAGAUGAAUUAGGGUGAAGUCGUAACAAGGUAGC
Molecule: ribosomal RNA, 183 nt
Filed under: uncultured bacterium
Lineage: Bacteria
Description: partial 16S ribosomal RNA
Rfam family: Bacterial small subunit ribosomal RNA
Source: RNAcentral